Molecule: ribosomal RNA, 460 nt
Filed under: uncultured bacterium
Lineage: Bacteria
Description: partial 16S ribosomal RNA
Rfam family: Bacterial small subunit ribosomal RNA
Source: RNAcentral
CCUACGGGGGGCUGCAGUGAGGAAUAUUGGUCAAUGGACGAGAGUCUGAACCAGCCAAGUAGCGUGAAGGAUGACUGCCCUAUGGGUUGUAAACUUCUUUUAUAUGGGAAUAAAAUGUUCCACGUGUGGGAUUUUGUAUGUACCCUAUGAAUAAGGAUCGGCUAACUCCGUGCCAGCAGCCGCGGUAAUACGGAGAAUCCGAGCGUUAUCCGGAUUUAUUGGGUUUAAAGGGAGCGUAGGUGGAUUGUUAAGUCAGUUGUGAAAGUUUGCGGCUCAACCGUAAAAUUGCAGUUGAAACUGGCAGUCGUGAGUACAGUAGAGGUGGGCGGAAUUCGUGGUGUAGCGGUGAAAUGCUUAGAUAUCACGAAGAACUCCGAUUGCGAAGGCAGCUCACUGGACUGCAACUGACACUGAGGCUCGAAAGUGUGGGUAUCAAACAGGAUUAGAUACCCCUGUAGUC